GGUGGCUUCGGCUGCCGGAGAGCGGCGAACGGGUGAGUAACACGUGGGUAAUCUGCCUGGGAGCGGGGGAUAACCUGGGGAAACUCGGGCUAAUACCGCAUACGUCGUUGGGGGUAAUCUCCAACAAGAAAGCUGGCCUCUGCUUGCAAGCUAGCGCUCCUAGAGGAGCCCGCGGCUGAUUAGCUAGUUGGUGAGGUAAUGGCUCACCAAGGCGACGAUCAGUAGCCGGCCUGAGAGGGUGAUCGGCCACACUGGGACUGAGACACGGCCCAGACUCCUACGGGAGGCAGCAGUGGGGAAUAUUGGACAAUGGGCGCAAGCCUGAUCCAGCAACGCCGCGUGGAGGAUGAAGGUCUUCGGAUCGUAAACUCCUGUCAGGUGGGACGAAGGCUGCGGGGUGAAUAAUCCUGCAGUUUGACGGUACCACCAGAGGAAGCCCCGGCUAACUCCGUGCCAGCAGCCGCGGUAAUACGGAGGGGGCGAGCGUUAUUCGGAAUUAUUGGGCGUAAAGGGCGCGUAGGCGGCUUGACAAGUCAAAGGUGAAAUCCCUCGGCUCAACUGAGGAACUGCCUUUGAAACUGUCUGGCUUGAGGCCGGGAGGGGGUAGCGGAAUUCCCAGUGUAGCGGUGAAAUGCGUAGAUAUUGGGAGGAACACCAGUGGCGAAGGCGGCUACCUGGACCGGUUCUGACGCUGAUGCGCGAAAGCGUGGGUAGCAAACAGGAUUAGAUACCCUGGUAGUCCACGCUGUAAACGAUGGGUGCUCGGUGUCGCGGGUAUCGA
Molecule: ribosomal RNA, 781 nt
Filed under: uncultured Pseudomonadota bacterium
Lineage: Bacteria; Pseudomonadati; Pseudomonadota
Description: bacterial SSU rRNA
Rfam family: Bacterial small subunit ribosomal RNA
Source: RNAcentral